RNAcentral lists this transfer RNA (74 nucleotides) under Cavia porcellus (domestic guinea pig). It matches the Rfam family "tRNA". From Rfam's summary of the family: Transfer RNA (tRNA) molecules are approximately 80 nucleotides in length. The record is from Rfam by way of RNAcentral. Lineage: Eukaryota; Metazoa; Chordata; Mammalia; Rodentia; Caviidae.
GGGUUGAUGGUAUAGUGGUGAACACAGCUGCUUUACGAAGCAGCAGAACCCGGGUUCGAUUGCUGGUCAGCGCA